GACCAGACUCCUACGGGAGGCAGCAGUGGGGAAUAUUGCACAAUGGGGGAAACCCUGAUGCAGCGACGCCGCGUGAGUGAAGAAGUAAUUCGUUACGUAAAGCUCUAUCAGCAGGGAAGAGAGUGACGGUACCUGAGUAAGAAGCCCCGGCUAACUACGUGCCAGCAGCCGCGGUAAUACGUAGGGGGCAAGCGUUAUCCGGAUUUACUGGGUGUAAAGGGAGCGUAGACGGCGAAGAAAGUCUGGAGUGAAAGCCCGGGGCCCAACCCCGGAACUGCUCUGGAAACUGUGCGGCUAGAGUACUGGAGGGGCAGGCGGAAUUCCUAGUGUAGCGGUGAAAUGCGUAGAUAUUAGGAGGAACACCAGUGGCGAAGGCGGCCUGCUGGACAGUAACUGACGUUGAGGCUCGAAAGCGUGGGGAGCAAACAGGAUUAGAUACCCCGGUACC
RNAcentral lists this ribosomal RNA (448 nucleotides) under uncultured bacterium. Its description in RNAcentral is "bacterial SSU rRNA". It matches the Rfam family "Bacterial small subunit ribosomal RNA", at positions 329 to 794 of the family's 1533-position model. The record is from RNAcentral.